AGGUAAGCUACUAAGAGCGAAUGGUGGAUGCCUUGACUGGUAAAGGCGAUGAAGGACGUACUAGACUGCGAUAAGCUACGGGGAGCUGUCAAGAAGCUUUGAUCCGUAGAUUUCCGAAUGGGGCAACCCAAUGUAUAGAGAUAUGCAUUACCUAUAUAGGAGCGAACGAGGGGAAUUGAAACAUCUUAGUACCCUCAGGAAAAGAAAUCAAUAGAGAUUGCGUCAGUAGCGGCGAGCGAAAGCGCAAGAGGGCAAACCCAGUGCUUGCACUGGGGGUUGUAGGACUGCAAUGUGCAAGAGGUAAGUUUAGCAGAACAUUCUGGAAAGUAUAACCAUAGAGGGUGAUAGUCCCGUAUGCGAAAAACAAACCUUAGCUAGCAGUAUCCUGAGUAGGGCGGGACACGAGGAAUCCUGUCUGAAUCCGGGUCGACCACGAUCCAACCCUAAAUACUAAUACCAGAUCGAUAGUGCACAAGUACCGUGAGGGAAAGGUGAAAAGAACUGAGGUGAUCAGAGUGAAAUAGAACCUGAAACCAUUUGCUUACAAUCAUUCAGAGCCCUAUGUAGCAAUACAGGGUGAUGGACUGCCUUUUGCAUAAUGAGCCUGCGAGUUGUGGUGUCUGGCAAGGUUAAGCAAACGCGAAGCCGUAGCGAAAGCGAGUCUGAAUAGGGCGCUUAGUCAGAUGCUGCAGACCCGAAACGAAGUGAUCUAUCCAUGAGCAAGUUGAAGCUAGUGUAAGAACUAGUGGAGGACUGAACCCAUAGGCGUUGAAAAGCCCCGGGAUGACUUGUGGAUAGGGGUGAAAGGCCAAUCAAACUUCGUGAUAGCUGGUUCUCUCCGAAAUAUAUUUAGGUAUAGCGUUGUGUCGUAAUAUAAGGGGGUAGAGCACUGAAUGGGCUAGGGCAUACACCAAUGUACCAAACCCUAUCAAACUCCGAAUACCUUAUAUGUAAUCACAGCAGUCAGGCGGCGAGUGAUAAAAUCCGUCGUCAAGAGGGAAACAACCCAGACUACCAGCUAAGGUCCCUAAAUCUUACUUAAGUGGAAAACGAUGUGAAGUUACUUAAACAACCAGGAGGUUGGCUUAGAAGCAGCCAUCCUUUAAAGAAAGCGUAAUAGCUCACUGGUCUAGUGAUUUUGCGCGGAAAAUAUAACGGGGCUAAAGUAAGUACCGAAGCUGUAGACUUAGUUUACUAAGUGGUAGGAGAGCGUUCUAUUUGCGUCGAAGGUAUACCGGUAAGGAGUGCUGGAGCGAAUAGAAGUGAGCAUGCAGGCAUGAGUAGCGAUAAUUAAUGUGAGAAUCAUUAACGCCGUAAACCCAAGGUUUCCUACGCGAUGCUCGUCAUCGUAGGGUUAGUCGGGUCCUAAGUCGAGUCCGAAAGGGGUAGACGAUGGCAAAUUGGUUA
Molecule: ribosomal RNA, 1407 nt
Filed under: Campylobacter jejuni
Lineage: Bacteria; Pseudomonadati; Campylobacterota; Epsilonproteobacteria; Campylobacterales; Campylobacteraceae
Description: bacterial LSU rRNA
Rfam family: Bacterial large subunit ribosomal RNA
Source: RNAcentral